GGGGGCCGAAGUGCUGCCGCGGGUCCCUGCCGAGGGGCGGCGGCGGCCGCUCCCUGAGUAAACGUUGUCGCUACCGGCUUUCGCCGCCAGGUGUGCGUCGGGUUUUUGUCGCAAAACUGAAGUUAUCAACUGUUAAGGUGCGUUCGAGGUGCAGCUAUAAUGUCAUUAGCAGUCUCUUUAUUCACUUCUGUUCCCUGUUUAUCCCCUGAAGUAUUCCCUACUUCAUACCACAGUAAAGUGCGUUCAUCAGUAAAGCGCUGAUUUAAGGAGCAGAGGAAGAAAAUGGCCUGUUUGUGCUUGCUUUCAGAGGGAAGACCGUUGUGAUACAUCGUGUAAAUGGGAAAUAACUGUAACUUGUGCCGAUAUGGAUGCUUACUGCUAAACAAAAUGAGAUUUUUACAAGACAAGAAAGAGAAGGGAACGUGGUUAGAAAAUCAACUGGAAGAAAUGUGGGAAAGAAGCGUAGAGAAAUAAAUGUCUGCUAAAUAGCAGAGGAGGCCUUGAGAAGUGGAGCCACAGGAUGCAGCGUACAAGCAUGAGAUGGUAAGAGAUGGGGCACAGGUUUGGCGUUGGAGACACACAGCUAAAAACAACUCACCAAUGAUCAGUUAAAGAAAUGCAGAGCUGGACAUAACUGGUUUUAGAGGUAACAAAGAAAUAGUAUCUAGCAUAUGUAAAAGAUGCUGUAUAUAGUAAAUUCAGAUGUAAUGUGGAGCUGCAAAGUUUAAAAGCAGAGCAGCAAAGUUUAAAGCAUUAGAAAACAUAAGAAUAGUCCUGAGUAGAUCAAAGGUAGGUAAGAAAAGAAGGAAGGAUGAAUGAGGAGGAAGAGAAAGAAACCAUCAGCAUAAUACUCCUCCUCAUGAAGUACUGCAGGUGCUGACAAUUCAUCAUAACACCCUUCCUCGCACCAGAAUGAAACCACCGAUCUUAGGGCUCAGAGGAACAGGGGCAAAGGGUGAACGUAACAUCAGGAAAGGGAGUAGAAACUGCAAAUUGUGUGCAACAAUUUUAAAUGUAUUAUUAUUGAAAUUUCUGCAUAGACAUAUUCUUUCUUUUUCUGUAAUGAUUAAAUCUGGACUAUAAUGAUUCUUGGAUUAGACUGUUAGGAUUUCAGUUAUACUAACAAUAAAUUCUUGGCUUAUAUAUAAGGUGCGUUUCCUCUUUGCCCAUAAACAAAAUUUUGCUUGUCAUUAAAUUUAGUCCAGUCUGUAUUCUUCUUUAAACAUACUGAGGCUAAAUGCACCUCUGCAUAUAGCGCCAUUAAGGUACUUGUUUGAAAACAGUGGAGAAAAUGUGCAGCAAAAUGGAAUGUGGCUAUCCAAGGCUGCCUUCCUGUGCUCCAGCACACUCAGGAAGGGUGUAAUAGUCCUGUGCGUAAGCUGCUGUCAUUUCUCAAUAUGGAAAUUGUUUGCACAUUCCAUUUCUGUAUGCAGUAUGAAAUAAGUUUCAGUAACUCAAGCACUAUUGAAACUCAGACUUGUCUGUAAUGUCAGAUUGAAUGGUGAAGUACAACCAGAAACUAUAUACCAGUAACAAAGAGGGCAUUUGUUAAGGUCAGCGCAGUCAUUAAUCAGUGAGUCAAUAGACUGAGAAGAGGGACAAAGAUGGAAAAUUAAUUUCUGUAGACAGAAUACUCACUAUAUAAUUUUCAAAUGCAAGUAUAAAAUUUGCAGGUGAGCACAUAAAUACUGUUGCCCAAAGUGUAUGGCAAAAACACAGUAAAGCAUUCUAGCAGCUAUCACAUUCCAAAUCCAGCUCUGCAUCCCUCUGUUUUGAAAGGGAUCCAGCCCAUAGAGAAUGGGAAUAGCAGUGGCUGGUGCUGUGGUUCUGACUGAAUGGAACGGUUCUCCUCAUCUUCCUUUCUAGGGCUGAUGCUAUAGGACUUCAGAGGAUCUGGAUCCAAGUCUGUGAACAAAACAAAUCUUUGUCAAGCAUCUUAGUCUUCGAAUACUGCACAUGGCACCUGCACAGCAGUGCUCUGAAUUAAUAGAAAACAUGAUGGUUUAUGGUAGGCUCUGGAAGUGGCAGGGAAUUCAGCUGUUGAAAGGAAUUUGGACUGCUGCUUUGUCUAUGGAAAAGCAGCAAAUAGCCCCUGAACUUUAUGGCCAUCCUCUAUGCUGCACAGACAUCCAAACUUCAGUUCUGUUGGGGCUGUCGACUUUAACGUAAGUGGGCUCCAUCAUACAGGGUAUUGUCCGUUUGGGGAAUGGGGAAGGAUAUGAUUCCACUAUGAAGCAGUAUCUUCCUGUUUCUUUUUUUUUUUAAAAAGUUCCUAAGUGAUGUAUCACACUGUUCUGUUUAGGUACCCACCGUGAUUUGAAGGCAAUUUGUAAUCCAAAAGCAAUGCAGUUUUGUCAUUCUGUAUAUUCCUAUGAAAUUACAUGUGUGUACAAAUGAAAGUAAAAGCAGUUCUUGCUUUCAGUUUACUUUUGCAUUCAUGGCUUUCAAGAAUAGAAAAGCAUUACAGGAUACUCCCCUGACUCUUUCCAGCUAAUUCACGAAGAACCAGAUUUCCUUUUUUUGUCUUACCGGAAGAAUUAGGAAAUGUAGACUUAGCUCCUUCUGUUAGAAUUUCCGAUGGUCUGGGAGAAAUAGGGAUUUCGUUAUUAAUGUUUCCGUACCUUAAGGGUCUCUAAUUCUGUGACCAAAAUGUGAAAUACGAUGUCAUCCCUCCGA
This is a long non-coding RNA of Dromaius novaehollandiae (emu), 2676 nucleotides long. RefSeq lists it as uncharacterized. Lineage: Eukaryota; Metazoa; Chordata; Aves; Casuariiformes; Dromaiidae. The record is from RefSeq and is a predicted model, not a curated record. The transcript is spliced from 4 exons.